Molecule: ribosomal RNA, 494 nt
Filed under: uncultured bacterium
Lineage: Bacteria
Description: bacterial SSU rRNA
Rfam family: Bacterial small subunit ribosomal RNA
Source: RNAcentral
CAUGAGUACGAGUUUGAUCCGUGGCUCGAGGACGACGCUGGCGGCGUGCCUAACACAUGCAAGUCGAACGGACGAGGGGAGCUUGCUCCCCGAGUUAGUGGCGAACGGGUGAGUAACGCGUGAGAAACCUGCCUUUCAGUGGGGGACAACAGUUGGAAACGACUGCUAAUACCGCAUAAUGUGCCGGGAGGGCAUCCUCCUGGUACCAAAGCUUUAUGUGCUGAAAGAUGGCCUCGCGUCUGAUUAGCUAGUUGGUGAGGUAACGGCUCACCCAAGGCGACGAUCAGUAGCCGGUCUGAGAGGAUGAACGGCCACAUUGGGACUGAGAUACGGCCCCAGACUCCUACGGGAGGCAGCAGUGAGGAAUAUUGGGCAAUGGGCGCAAGCCUGACCCAGCAAUGCCGCGUGAAGGAAGACGGUUUUCGGAUUGUAAACUUCUUUUAAGAGGGACGAUAAUGACGGUACCUCUUGAAUAAGCCACGGCUAACUACGUG